Molecule: small nuclear RNA, 172 nt
Filed under: Marmota monax (woodchuck)
Lineage: Eukaryota; Metazoa; Chordata; Mammalia; Rodentia; Sciuridae
Description: U2 spliceosomal RNA
Rfam family: U2 spliceosomal RNA
About the family: U2 is a small nuclear RNA (snRNA) component of the spliceosome (involved in pre-mRNA splicing). Complementary binding between U2 snRNA (in an area lying towards the 5' end but 3' to hairpin I) and the branchpoint sequence (BPS) of the intron results the bulging out of an unpaired adenosine, on the BPS, which initiates a nucleophilic attack at the intronic 5' splice site, thus starting the first of two transesterification reactions that mediate splicing.
Source: Rfam by way of RNAcentral
UUUGCCUCUCAGCCUUUUGGCUAAGAUCAAGUGUAAUAUCUGUUCUUAUCAGUUUUUGUUUUUUAAAAUUAGAUACAUUAGGGAGCUAAAGUUUUAACAAGGCAUGAAAUAAAAUGAGCAUAUUUACUUAUUAUCAUUCUGGCACAUUUUUAAAAUAAAGAGCCAGCCAUUG